Molecule: ribosomal RNA, 403 nt
Filed under: uncultured bacterium
Lineage: Bacteria
Description: partial 16S ribosomal RNA
Rfam family: Bacterial small subunit ribosomal RNA
Source: RNAcentral
GACGAACGCUGGCGGCGUGCCUAAUACAUGCAAGUCGAACGCAGUGGGGACGGGUGAGUAACACGUGGGUAACCUCCCAUCAGAGGGGAUAACACUUGGAAACCGGUGCUAAACCGAUAUGGAUGGUUGGACCCGCGUGGCAUUAGCUAGUUGGGGAGGUAACGGCUCACAAAGGCCACGAUGCAUAGCCGACCGAGGAGGGUGAUCGGCCACACUGGGACGGAGACACGGCCCAGACUCCUACGGGAGGCAGCAUUAGGGAAUAUUCGACAAUGGACGCAAGUCUGACCGAGCAACGCCGCGUGAGUGAAGAAGGUUUUCGGAUCGUAAAACUCUGUUGUUAGAGAAGCGGUAUCUAACCAGAAAGCCACGGCUAACUACGUGCCAGCAGCCGCGGUAAUAC